This 234-nucleotide unclassified non-coding RNA is filed under the name Hevea brasiliensis (rubber tree). The record is from RNAcentral. Lineage: Eukaryota; Viridiplantae; Streptophyta; Magnoliopsida; Malpighiales; Euphorbiaceae.
AUACACGUGCACUUCACUACAGGAUCAUAAAGACAAGUGUUUUAGAUAAGUUAAAGGAAGGGCCCGAAUAUCCACAUGAGAAAUUCCUCUUUUUUCAAAGAUAAGAUCCGACUCCAAGAUUGCACAUUUAAUAACCCAUUAUUCAAUAUUAUGAUUUAAUUAUUUUGAAAAAUAAGUAAUUGGAUUGAAGAUAUAAUUAUUUAUUCAUAAGUUGAAACUUUUCCAUCAACUGGA